ACAAACUUGGUCAUUUAGAGGAAGUAAAAGUCGUAACAAGGUUUCCGUAGGUGAACCUGCGGAAGGAUCAUUACUGAACCGUCGACACGAGUUGUUGCUGGCCCCUCUGAUGGGGGGGAGCAUGUGCACGCUCUGUUUACACAUCCAUUCACACCUGUGCACCCUCUGUAGUUCCGUGGUCUGAGGGACUUUGUCCCUCUGCCGUGGUUCUAUGUUUUUACACACACCCUGUAGUAAAGUCUUAAGGAACGUGUGCCGCGUUUAACGCAAUGAAAUACAACUUUCAGCAACGGAUCUCUUGGCUCUCGCAUCGAUGAAGAACGCAGC
RNAcentral lists this unclassified non-coding RNA (327 nucleotides) under uncultured fungus. RNAcentral's name for it is "partial contains small subunit ribosomal RNA, internal transcribed spacer 1, and 5.8S ribosomal RNA". The stretch from base 1 to 73 matches the Rfam family "Eukaryotic small subunit ribosomal RNA", at positions 1759 to 1831 of the family's 1831-position model. Lineage: Eukaryota; Fungi. The record is from RNAcentral.